RNAcentral lists this ribosomal RNA (402 nucleotides) under uncultured bacterium. RNAcentral's name for it is "bacterial SSU rRNA". It matches the Rfam family "Bacterial small subunit ribosomal RNA", at positions 355 to 748 of the family's 1533-position model. The record is from RNAcentral.
UGGGGAAUUUUGGACAAUGGGCGCAAGCCUGAUCCAGCCAUGCCGCGUGCGGGAAGAAGGCCUUCGGGUUGUAAACCGCUUUUGUCAGGGAAGAAAUCUUCUGAACUAAUACUUCGGGAGGAUGACGGUACCUGAAGAAUAAGCACCGGCUAACUACGUGCCAGCAGCCGCGGUAAUACGUAGGGUGCAAGCGUUAAUCGGAAUUACUGGGCGUAAAGCGUGCGCAGGCGGUUGUGCAAGACAGGUGUGAAAUCCCCGGGCUUAACCUGGGAACUGCACUUGUGACUGCACAGCUGGAGUGCGGCAGAGGGGGAUGGAAUUCCGCGUGUAGCAGUGAAAUGCGUAGAUAUGCGGAGGAACACCGAUGGCGAAGGCAAUCCCCGUGGGCCUGCACUGACGCUC